UGAACUGGGCUAAAAAUUUAAAAUAAAAUAAAAAAACAAAACAAACAUUUUCAUGGUUUUUGUAUUAUCUCUGUUAAAAACAAAUUAAGUUAAAUAAUAAAAAGAAUAAAUAAUAAAAAAAGAAAUUAAGACCAUAUAAACAUUUUCUGAUUUUUGUAUUAAAAACAAAAUAAAUUAAAUAGUAAAAAGAAUUAAUUAAAAAUUAAAAAACAAAAAAAGAAAAAAAAGAAAUGGAAACAGCAGAAGCUCGUCUCCAACGCUAUCGUCUUCCUCACUCUCUCUCAAACUCUCUCAGGCGAAAACCUCUCCCUGCUCUCAGAAUCACUAUCCCUCAAACUUACCCAAUCGUCUCUCAAAUGCACUCGA
Molecule: long non-coding RNA, 366 nt
Filed under: Lathyrus oleraceus (garden pea)
Lineage: Eukaryota; Viridiplantae; Streptophyta; Magnoliopsida; Fabales; Fabaceae
Description: Pisum sativum (pea) long non-coding RNA (PSAT_LNC014892)
Source: RNAcentral